RNAcentral lists this transfer RNA (84 nucleotides) under Spirochaetes bacterium DG_61. RNAcentral's name for it is "tRNA-Leu". It matches the Rfam family "tRNA". From Rfam's summary of the family: Transfer RNA (tRNA) molecules are approximately 80 nucleotides in length. Their secondary structure includes four short double-helical elements and three loops (D, anti-codon, and T loops). Further hydrogen bonds mediate the characteristic L-shaped molecular structure. tRNAs have two regions of fundamental functional importance: the anti-codon, which is responsible for specific mRNA codon recognition, and the 3' end, to which the tRNAs corresponding amino acid is attached (by aminoacyl-tRNA synthetases). tRNAs cope with the degeneracy of the genetic code in two manners: having more than one tRNA (with a specific anti-codon) for a particular amino acid; and 'wobble' base-pairing, i.e. permitting non-standard base-pairing at the 3rd anti-codon position. The record is from RNAcentral. Lineage: Bacteria; Pseudomonadati; Spirochaetota. RNAcentral also lists the same sequence under 1 other name.
GCCCGGGUGGUGGAAUUGGUAGACACGCUAGCUUGAGGGGCUAGUGGCCGUUAGGCUGUGCGAGUUCAAAUCUCGCCUCGGGCA